UAUUAGGUCAUGGGUUCGAAUCCCGGCUCGGCCACUUGUCAGCUGGGUGACUGUGGGCCAGUCACUUCACUUCUCGGUGCCCGUUACCUCAUCUGUAAAAUCGAUUAGAUCGAUUACAUCGAUUAGACUGUAAGCCAGUGACCUCAUCUGUAAAAUGGGGAUGAAGACCGGGAGCCCCACGUGGGACACCCUGAUUCCCGUGUCUCCCCCAGCGCUUAGAACAGUGCUCGGCACAGACUAAGCGCUUAACAAAUACCAACAUUAUUAUUAUUAAGCCCGUCAAACGGCAGGGACCGUCUCUAUCUGUGGCCGACUUGUUCAUUCCAAGCGCUUAGUCCAGUGCUCUGCACGUAGUCAGCGCUCAAUAAAGACGAUUGAAAUACUAUGGAAUGAGUAAAAAUGGGGAUGAGGCCUGGGAGCCCCACGUGGGACAACCUGAUGGCCCUGUGUCUCCCCCAGCGCUUAGAACAGUGCUCGGCACAGAGGAAGCGCUUAACAAACACCAACAUGAUUAUUAUUUUUAUUUAUUAUUAUUAAGCGCUGAACAUUGGAGCGAGGGAGUGAAAGGCCGUGAUGGCGGCCCUGAGGCGAGGGGGACACCGGAAGUCCCGCCCUCCGGGCCGAAGAGGCUGCCGGGUAGCGGUUUAAUGCCCGGCCCCCUCAGCCCUGCCUCCUUUUCUCUUUGCGCCUUCGGGCCGCCGCACGGGUCGCGCUCCGCUCCGCCAUUUCCUCCCGCUCCGCCGUCCCGCCCGCUCCGCCAUCCCCACACAAGUGAGUACGAGGCGCCCACCGGGCCCGGACGCUCUGGGCCCCCGUCCGACCCCGCCCGACCCCAACCCGGGGAAGGAGGGCCACAAAAUGGCGGCCGACGGCAGGACUGGCCCCAGGCCCGCCUGGCGGAUGCGUUACGUCGCCGCCUACCUCCUGGCCGUCCUCGGGGGCAACGACUCCCCGGCCCUGAAGGACCUCAAGAAGAUCCUGGACAGCGUGGGCAUCGAGACGGACGACGAACGCCUGAAGAAGGUGAUCGGCGAGCUCAACGGGAAGAACAUCGAAGACGUCAUCGCUCAGGGCAACAGCAAGCUGGCCAGCCUGCCGUCCGGAGGAGCCGUGGCCGUCUCGGCCAGCGCCGGGGCCCCCGCUCCGGCCGCCGGGGGGUCUGCCCCGGCUGCCGCCGAGGAGAAGAAGAAGGAAGAGAAGAAGGAGGAGUCCGAAGAGUCGGACGACGACAUGGGCUUCGGCCUGUUCGACUAAGCGCCCGCCCCGACCGACGUAAAUAAACCCUUUUAUUUAGAGAGUGCCUCGGCUCCCGUGCGCGCGCCCGUCCCUCCCCGUGGGUCGGCCCGGAUGACGCCGUGGGGCCGAGCCCGGGGACCGGUUGCCCCCCCGGCCGGGCGCCUCGGCUUCGAGGCGAGUCGGCCGAUGACCCCGGUCACCGCAGAUCCCCGGGGGAGAUGGGCGUCAUCUUCCUUGCCCUCGGCGGUCGAGGACGCCAGCUGACUGGGGAAGGGGUCGGCCCGGACGGGACUCCCUGCCGCCGUCAAGGAGCGUACAGUGCCGUCUCUCUCUCUCACCCCCACCGCCGCCGAGGAGCACGGUCUGGGUAUUCGUUCGUUCGGUAGUAUUUGUUGAGCGCUUACUAUGUGCACAGCACUGGACUAAGCCCUUGGAAUGGUCAGUUCGGCAACAGAUAGACGCCGUCCCCGCCCCGGGACCCCCCCCCCCCCCCCCAAUCGGGGGGAGACAGAUGGCAGAGCAAAGCAGAACGGAACGGAAACAAGGCAACGUAAUCACGAUAACGAUAAAUGGAAGUACACAGCAAAGAACAGAGUCUGGUACAUGGUGCACACCAAGGAGCGAUCGGUCUGACCCCACACCCCGAACAAAAGGAGGCGUCCAUCAGCGUGCAGUUCCUUGGGCCUCAGUUUACUUCAUCUGUAAAAUGAGGAGAGGUAAUUCUUGAGGUCUCUGUUAAGCGCUUACUAUGGGCCAAGCACUACUUAGGAGAAGCAGCGUCGCCUAAUGGGGAGAAUACGGGCCUGGCGGGGAGCGGGACCUGGGUUCUAACUUGGCUCUGCCACCUAUCGUGAGACCAUGUGCAAGUCACUUCACUUAUGGACCACAGUUACCUCACCUGUACAUUCAGUAGUAUUUAUUGAGCGCCUACUAUGUGCAGAGAACUGUACUAAGCGCUUGGAACGGACAAUUCGGCAACAGAGAGAGAAUCCCUCUCUGAGGGAUUGAGAGGAUUAAGGCUGUGAGCUCUAUGUGGGACAGGGACCGUGUCCAAUCCGAUUUGCUCGUAUCUACCCCGCCGCUUAGUAAUGAUAAUGUUGGUAUUUGUUGAGCGCUUACUAUGUGCAGAGCACUGUUCUAAGCGCUUGGGGGGGGGGGAGACGGGGGAAUCAGGUCUUCCCCCGUGGGGCUCACAGUCUUCAUCCCCAUUUUCCAGAUGAGGUAACUGAGGCCCAGGGGCAGAGCUGGGACUCGAACUCAUGACCCCUGCCCGCCAAGCCCGUGCUCUUUUCACCGGCACAUAGUAAGCACUUAAAUACCACAAUUAGGUCAUCACUAGGACGGCUCAUCGGGUCCCACAUGGGGCUCUGGGUGCAAGUAGGAGGGAAACCCAUCGAAUCCCCAUUUUGCUGAGGAGGGAACGUGAGCCACUGAAACGAAAUCAGUCAGGAACUCGUUUAUCGAGCGCUUACCGUGUGCAGAGCACCGUACUAAGCUUUUGGGAGAGGACGAUAGAAAAACGGUCCCCGUCCACAGCGAGCCUCCAGUUUAGACGGAGGCAGACGUGAGCGUAAAACGAUGACAGAUGUAGACGUCAGCGCGGUGGGGGAGCGUGUCGGGAAGGAAGUGACAGAAAAGGGAAAAAGGACUUAAUCAGGGUGGGCCUCUUGGAGGAAUAGAAGCAAAUCCAGUCGAAGUCCCCGUCCCCCCCGUGGGGCUCGCCGUCUCAAUCCCCGUUUCCCACGUCACCGGAGCCCUGAGAAGUGAAGGUACUUCCUCAAGGCCACACGACAGACAAGUUGAGAAGCGGCGCGGCUCAGCGGAAAGAGCCCGGGCCGGGGAGUCGGAGGUCGUGGGUUCUGAUCCCGGCUCUGCUGCUUGUCAGCUGUGUAACCGAUAAAGUCACUUCUCUGCGCCUGUUCCCGCAUCUGGAAAAUGGGGACGAAGACGGUGAGCCCCCCGGGGGACAACCUGGUAACCUUGCGUCUACCCCAGGCGCGUAUAACAAAUGCCAACGUUGUUAUUGCGAGCGGCAGAGGCGGGAUUAGAACCCGUGGCCACCCGACUCCUAGGCUUGCGUUCCCUCCACCGCGCCACGCUGCUUCACUGUGGGAUAGGUGGACACCCCCACCAACCUUGCCGUCUCCCCCGCCCGGACCCGGUACUUCGGGCUGAGGGAAUGCUUCGGCCCCCGCCCUUCGGGGCCGACCCCGGCUCGGCCGUUCCGGUCGGACGGGGGCUCCAGCUGGGCCAAUGUUGGAGAAAGGUCACCGAGAAAGCCACCUCCCGCUCCGCUCGGGCCCCCCCCCCUCCCCGUUCUCCUUCCAACCCUGCGGCCCAGGGGACCGGAGCUCCCUCGGCCCCAAAACGAGUCAGGAGAUGUGACGGGGAGUUCAUCUGGCCCAGUGGGCCCGGGGUCACCCCCCCCCCCCCCCACCUGGUGCCAGUCGAUCGCUCGGGAGAGGACAGUCUAAGAAGUGAUAAAUGAAGUCGGUAUUCGUUAAGCGCUCGCUAUAUGCAGAGCACCGUUCUGAGCACCGGGGGAGAUACGGGGUCCUCAGGUUGUCCCACGGGAGGCUCCCAGUCUUCAUCCCUGUUUGAAAGAUGAGGUCACUGAGGCCCGGAGAAGCGAAGCGACUUGCCCACAGUCACCCGGCGGGGAUUCGAACCCACGACCUCCGACUCCCAAGCCCGCGCUCUUUCCAGUGAGCCGCGCCGCUUCCCGACAAACAUGCCCGCAACAGGCUUACAGUCUAGAGCGGGAGACGGACAUUAAUAGAAAUGAAUGAAUUAUAGAGACGUAUAGCCGAGGCCGGGGGGGGGAGGGAUGAUGAUAACGUUGGUAUUCGUUAAGCGCUUCCUAUGUGCCGAGCGCCGUUGUAAGCGCUGGGGGAGAUAGGGGGUCGUCGGGUCGUCCCACGUGAGGCUCACGGUCUUCAUCCCCAUUUUACAGAUGAGGGAACUGAGGCCCAGAGAAGUGAAGUGACGAAUAAAGGGAGCAAGCCAGGGAGAGGAGGAAAGGAGGGCUUAGUCGGGGAGGGCUUCUUGGAGGAGGUGGGCCUUCAGUAAGGCUUUGAAGCGAGAGGGGAAGAGUUAGUGUCUUUUUUCGGGUGCGUUUGGAGGGCUGUGGAGACAAACCACCCCACCCCAGUACUGCUCCUAGACCCUGAGCUCGCUGGGGGGCAGGGAUCGUGUCGUAACGGAGAAGCGGCACGGUGCGGUGGAAAGAGCGCUGGCCUGCGAGUCGGAAGGUCAUGGGUUCUAAUCCCAGUUCCACCAUUUGUUGCGUGACCUCGGGCAAUUGGCUUCUCCGGGCCUCGGUGACCUCAUCCGUAUAAAGGUUUAUCGAGGCUGAGACGGCAUCCGAUUCAUUCAUUCGUUCACUCCAUGGUAUCUAUUGAGCGCUUACUCUGUGCAGAGCACUGGACUAAGCGCUGGGAACGGACAGAUGGGUAACAGAUAGAGACGGUCCCUGCCCUCUGACGGGCUCACGGUCUCAUCGGGGGAGACGGACAAGAAGAAUGGCAAUAAACUCGAUUUGCUUGUAUCCACCCCGGCGCUCGGUACGGUCCCCGGCACAUCGCGCUGAACAGAUGCCGUAAUUAUUACUGUUUUAUAGCCCCCCAAGCGCUUAGUACAGCGCUCCGCACACAGUGAGCGCGCAAUAAAGACGAUCGAGUGAACGAACGGUUCCAGCGGCCGCCGGGAGCCUCGUUGCCGGAGUCGGCGGGGCCGGUCCGCCCCGCCCCCGGCCCCUCUGUUUACCGGACCCUUGACCUCUCGGAAGCCGGGCCCGGGUGAGAACUUCCCCCGGGGACCCCCGUCCCUCCGCCCACCCCCUCCCUCUGCCCUUAAACUUUGCCUCGAAAACAGACUUUCAGUUUUCGAGCCCGG
RNAcentral lists this long non-coding RNA (5130 nucleotides) under Ornithorhynchus anatinus (platypus). RNAcentral describes it as "lncRNA (ENSOANG00000041608.1)". Lineage: Eukaryota; Metazoa; Chordata; Mammalia; Monotremata; Ornithorhynchidae. The record is from RNAcentral.